UACGUAGGGGGCAAGCGUUGUCCGGAUUUAUUGGGCGUAAAGAGCGUGUAGGCGGCUUGACAGGUCUGCUGUGAAAACUCGAGGCUCAACCUCGAGAUGUCGGCGGAAACCGUCUGGCUAGAGUCCGGAAGAGGAGGGUGGAAUUCCUGGUGUAGCGGUGAAAUGCGCAGAUAUCAGGAAGAACACCUAUGGCGAAGGCAGCUCUCUGGGACGGUACUGACGCUGAGACGCGAAAGCGUGGGGAGCGAACAGG
RNAcentral lists this ribosomal RNA (253 nucleotides) under uncultured bacterium. RNAcentral describes it as "partial 16S ribosomal RNA". It matches the Rfam family "Bacterial small subunit ribosomal RNA", at positions 524 to 776 of the family's 1533-position model. The record is from RNAcentral.